This 242-nucleotide ribosomal RNA is filed under the name uncultured bacterium. RNAcentral's name for it is "partial 16S ribosomal RNA". It matches the Rfam family "Bacterial small subunit ribosomal RNA", at positions 524 to 769 of the family's 1533-position model. The record is from RNAcentral.
UACGUAGGUGGCAAGCGUUGUCCGGAUUUAUUGGGUUUAAGGGUGCGUAGGCGGUCUUAUAAGUCAGUGCUGAAUAUCCCGGCUUAACCGGGAGGUGGCAUUGAUACUGUAGGACUUGAGUAGAGUUGAGGUUGGCGGAAUUGACGGUGUAGCGGUGAAAUGCGCAGAUAUCAGGAGGAACACCGUGGCGAAGGCGGGACUCUGGGCCGAUACUGACGCUGAGGAGCGAAAGCGUGGGGAGC